UGGAACAUCAGGGGUUUGAACAACCCGGCUAGAAGAUCUAUUGUGCGAGAGUUGGCCUCCAACCACAGAUGCAACCUUGUAUGCUUGCAGGAAACAAAACUGUCUCUCAUCACCAAUGCUAUUGUCUCUAAAACUUUAGGUGUUAGCUUCUUCAACAAUUUUGCCUUUUUGCCGGCGCUGGGAACCCGUGGUGGCGUUCUCAUUGCUGCCUCUUCUGAUCAUUACACCAUCACCCCUCAACCAUUGCUUGCUGGUGCUUACUCAGUCACAGUGCUUGUUACUGAACUCGCCUCCAAUGCCGUUUGGUCUUUAACCGGUGUCUAUGGACCUCAAGAAGAUGCUGACAAGAUCCUCUUCCUCGAGGAAAUGCGCGCACUACAACCUUUGUGUAAGCAGGAGUGGCUGAUCAUGGGCGACUUCAACCUCAUUAGCAGAAUGAAUGAAAAGAGCAAUGGGAAUGUCAACCUUGCGAUGCUGCGACGGUUCCGGGCCGCCAUUGACAAUCUGAACCUCAAAGAGUUGCCUCUCAUUGGUCGCCGAUACACUUGGUCCAGCGAGUGGCUCCACUCUACGCACACAAAGAUCGACAAGGUCCUCUUCUCAAAGGAAUGGGAAGAGCUCUCUCCCAGUUGUCAGCUGCUUGCUGGCUCCACGGAAAUCUCUGAUCACUGCCCACUUAUUCUGAAGAACUUCUGCAACCAAAAGUUCUCUGGCUUCCGCUUCGAGGCUUGA
Molecule: ribosomal RNA, 732 nt
Filed under: Triticum aestivum (bread wheat)
Lineage: Eukaryota; Viridiplantae; Streptophyta; Magnoliopsida; Poales; Poaceae
Description: partial small subunit ribosomal RNA
Source: RNAcentral